Molecule: ribosomal RNA, 46 nt
Filed under: Calopteryx splendens cretensis
Lineage: Eukaryota; Metazoa; Arthropoda; Insecta; Odonata; Calopterygidae
Description: partial 28S ribosomal RNA
Source: RNAcentral
UUUCUUUACGCCGACCUCAGAGCAGGUGAGGCUACCCGCUGAAUUU